Molecule: long non-coding RNA, 475 nt
Filed under: Gossypium barbadense (sea-island cotton)
Lineage: Eukaryota; Viridiplantae; Streptophyta; Magnoliopsida; Malvales; Malvaceae
Description: long non-coding RNA (GBAR_LNC019462)
Source: RNAcentral
UAGCCGAGUUUAUUGCCACGCUCUUAUUUUUAUACAUCACUGUGUUGACAGUGAUCGGAUACAAGAGUCAGGUUGACCCUGAUAAGGGCAGUGACGAAUGUGGUGGUGUUGGCAUUCUUGGCAUUGCUUGGGCUUUUGGUGGGAUGAUCUUUAUCCUUGUUUACUGCACUGCUGGUAUCUCUGGUAAGUUUCGACUCUCUUCCCCUCAUGUGUUUGAUAAAAAGGGGCAUUUUUUUCCAACUUCUUUUCAAAGUUGUUUUUCAUGGUUUACAGUAAAUGAGGUAAAAGAAAACCGGAUGAUGGUUUAGCAGAUGAGUAAUUGUUUAGCUGAAAUAAUGUGCAGGAGGACACAUCAACCCAGCAGUGACCUUUGGGCUUUUCUUGGCUAGGAAGGUGUCCUUAGUUCGAGCCAUAUUUUAUAUGGCUGCUCAAUGUUUGGGAGCCAUUUGUGGAUGUGGGCUAGUGAAGGCAUUCC